RNAcentral lists this ribosomal RNA (406 nucleotides) under uncultured bacterium. RNAcentral's name for it is "partial 16S ribosomal RNA". It matches the Rfam family "Bacterial small subunit ribosomal RNA", at positions 30 to 526 of the family's 1533-position model. The record is from RNAcentral.
AUUGAACGCUGGCGGCAGGCCUAACACAUGCAAGUCGAACGAGUGGCGGACGGUUGAGUAAUGUCUGUGAAACUGCCCGAAGGAGGGGGAUAUCGAUUGGAAACGGUAGCUAAUACCGCAUACCCUCGGAUGUGCCAAGAUGGGAUUAGCUAGUAGGUCGUGUAACGGCUCACCUAGGCGACGAUCCGUCGCGGGUCUGAGAGGAGAACCAGCCACACGGGAACUGAGACACGGACCCGACUCCUUCGUGAGGCAGCAGUGGUGAAUAGUGCACGAUGGGCGCAAGCCUGUAGCAGCCACGCCUCGUGUAUGAAAAAGACCUUCGGGUGAUAAAGUACUUUCAGCGAGGGGGCCUUACUCGCAGAGGAAGCACCGGCUAACUCCGUGCCCGCCGCCGCGGUAAUAC